CCUACGGGGUGCAGCAGUGGGGAAUAUUGGACAAUGGGCGAAAGCCUGAUCCAGCCAUGCCGCGUGUGUGAAGAAGGCCUUCGGGUUGUAAAGCACUUUCAGUGGGGAAGAAAGCCUUGGGGCUAAUACCCUCGAGGAAGGACAUCACCCACAGAAGAAGCACCGGCUAACUCCGUGCCAGCAGCCGCAGGUAAUACGGAGGGUGCGAGCGUUAAUCGGAAUUACUGGGCGUAAAGCGCGCGUAGGCGGUCUGAUAAGCCGGUUGUGAAAGCCCCGGGCUCAACCUGGGAACGGCAUCCGGAACUGUCAGGCUAGAGUGCAGGAGAGGAAGGUAGAAUUCCCGGUGUAGCGGUGAAAUGCGUAGAGAUCGGGAGGAAUACCAGUGGCGAAGGCGGCCUUCUGGACUGACACUGACGCUGAGGUGCGAAAGCGUGGGUAGCAAACAGGAUUAGAUACCCUAGUAGUC
This 466-nucleotide ribosomal RNA is filed under the name Vreelandella stevensii. Its description in RNAcentral is "partial 16S ribosomal RNA". It matches the Rfam family "Bacterial small subunit ribosomal RNA", at positions 338 to 795 of the family's 1533-position model. The record is from RNAcentral. Lineage: Bacteria; Pseudomonadati; Pseudomonadota; Gammaproteobacteria; Oceanospirillales; Halomonadaceae.